This 974-nucleotide long non-coding RNA is filed under the name Elaeis guineensis (African oil palm). RNAcentral's name for it is "long non-coding RNA (EGUI_LNC081040)". Lineage: Eukaryota; Viridiplantae; Streptophyta; Magnoliopsida; Arecales; Arecaceae. The record is from RNAcentral.
GGAGGAGGUUCCUUUCGAAACCUCUGAACUCUUCCUCUCUAUCUCUCGCUCUCUCUCUCUUGUUGAGCUCCUUGAUUCUUCUUUACUGUUGCCUAGUCUCCUCUCUGACUUGACUGUCGGAGGGUCCCCGUCGGAGUCACCUCCAGUCAGUGCGGACUUCUUUUGUAGGCGCUCGCUCCCGACGAUCAGGCGACGAGGGGAUUGGCCACAACAGGUUUGGCACGCCAGGAAGGGGUUCAACGACAGGGAUUACGACCCCUACAGAAUUCGAAAUAUUCUUUCGAGAUGACAAUAACCAGAGCUCAGUGAUCGAGGGCCAUCGGAUCGGCAAGACACUCUUCCCAUCGGGAAGAUGCCUCUCCUCCACCCUCCAUGGUGGAACCUAGCUCUCCGCUUCCCGUGGUGACCACGGAGGCGCAGAUCGCGACGAUCGUACGGUAGAUGACCGUACUGGCGGACACGGUCAAGAGCCUUCAACAACAACCAAUCCGGUUGCCGCACUCACCGGUAGAGCAACCGACGGCACACCCGAUGCCCUCCAGGAGCAGCCGCCGACGCCCGCGUCAGUCUACAUCCCCUCCUCGAGAGCAGCUGUCACAGCACUCCCACCGAGAGGAGGAGAGGCAGCCACGGCUUGAUAUCCAUCGGUCUCGACGACCAUCUCCUUUCCAACUGGAACAAGUAAGGAAGGAGAAGCGGCCGUGAACACCGUCUGCCUCCCUCUCAGAUUCAUCGGGAGACUCCACCCCCGGGGUCUCUCAGCACCGACGGGCCGACGACUACGAACGCAGGUUCGAAGAAAUCGACUGUCGGCUAACCCAGCUGCAGGUAGACGGACAGAAGUCCUCGAAUGACAUCAACUUUCAGACCGCCCAACCUCUCUCCCGACUCAUCCUCGACGAGCUGAUUCCUAGUCGGUUCAAGAUGCCCCAUGUGGAGCCCUAUGACGGCUCCACUGACCCAGUUGACCACCU